CCUACGGGAGGCAGCAGUGGGGAAUAUUGCACAAUGGGGGAAACCCUGAUGCAGCGACGCCGCGUGAAUGAUGAAGUAUUUCGGUAUGUAAACCUCUAUCAGCAGGGAAGAAAAUGACGGUACCUGAUUAAGAAGCCCCGGCUAACUACGUGCCAGCAGCCGCGGUAAUACGUAGGGGGCAAGCGUUAUCCGGAUUUACUGGGUGUAAAGGGAGCGUAGACGGAAUGACAAGUCUGAUGUGAAAAGCCGGGGCUCAACCCCGGGACUGCCUUGGAAACUGCGCAACUAGAGUGUAGGAGAGGUAAGUGGAAUUCCUAGUGGAGCGGUGAAAUGCGUAGAUAUUAGGAGGAACACCAGUGGCGAAGGCGGCUUACUGGACGGUAACUGACGUUGAGGCUCGAAAGCGUGGGGAGCAAACAGGAUUAGAUACCCUUGUAGUC
Molecule: ribosomal RNA, 440 nt
Filed under: uncultured bacterium
Lineage: Bacteria
Description: partial 16S ribosomal RNA
Rfam family: Bacterial small subunit ribosomal RNA
Source: RNAcentral